RNAcentral lists this unclassified non-coding RNA (498 nucleotides) under Hevea brasiliensis (rubber tree). The record is from RNAcentral. Lineage: Eukaryota; Viridiplantae; Streptophyta; Magnoliopsida; Malpighiales; Euphorbiaceae.
GUGCUCUUGAAGUCUUCUCCGAGCGAAGGAUACUGAAUUUUGGCUGGAAAAUACAUCCCAUAUUCCGUCACUUCCGAUUAUCAAAAACUCAUCUUCCUUGGUUAGUGUAAUCAAUUUAAGUUCUGGUUCAGCGCUCAAGAGGCCGCCCUUUUCACCCUUCACUUUCAUCCCUUCGAUGUGCCAAUCACCUAAUGCUCGGGUAACACUUAACUGUCCAUUCAAAUAGCCAUCUUCAACAUAUCUCCCUGGGGACUCGAUCCGUGCUCUUUCCUUACCACAGCAAGGCUUAUGGUCCUUUGACAUUUCGAUAGCUCUUCCACGUUUAGAUAAUACUGCCCGGCAAUCACCAGCAUUUGCCACAAGUAAAGAUCUCCCAAAUAUCAUUGCAGUAAGUGCAGUUGUUCCAGAAGAGAGGGCAGACAUGAGGGAGCAAGUUUCUGCUAAAGCAGCACCCGUCUUAAUGAAUGACCGUGUGACCACUUUCUCAAGUUCUAAUGG